RNAcentral lists this ribosomal RNA (482 nucleotides) under uncultured bacterium. Its description in RNAcentral is "partial 16S ribosomal RNA". It matches the Rfam family "Bacterial small subunit ribosomal RNA", at positions 30 to 507 of the family's 1533-position model. The record is from RNAcentral.
AUUGAACGCUGGCGGCAUGCCUUACACAUGCAAGUCGAACGGUAACGGGCCUUCGGGUGCCGACGAGUGGCGAACGGGUGAGUAAUACAUCGGAACGUGCCCGAUCGUGGGGGAUAACGAGGCGAAAGCUUUGCUAAUACCGCAUACGAUCUACGGAUGAAAGCAGGGGACCGCAAGGCCUUGCGCGGACGGAGCGGCCGAUGGCAGAUUAGGUAGUUGGUGGGAUAAAAGCUUACCAAGCCGACGAUCUGUAGCUGGUCUGAGAGGAUGAUCAGCCACACUGGGACUGAGACACGGCCCAGACUCCUACGGGAGGCAGCAGUGGGGAAUUUUGGACAAUGGGCGCAAGCCUGAUCCAGCCAUGCCGCGUGCAGGAUGAAGGCCUUCGGGUUGUAAACUGCUUUUGCACGGAACGAAAAGCCUUCUUUUAAUACAGGAGGGUCAUGACGGUACCGGAAGAAUAAGCACCGGCUAACUACGUG